This 76-nucleotide transfer RNA is filed under the name Clavelina oblonga. Its description in RNAcentral is "transfer RNA-Ser (UCN)". The record is from RNAcentral. Lineage: Eukaryota; Metazoa; Chordata; Ascidiacea; Aplousobranchia; Clavelinidae.
AAGAAUAUAAUUUAUAAUAAAAAAUAUUUAGUUUGAAACUAAAAAAAGUUACUGAAAAUAACACUAACUGUUCUUG